Molecule: non-coding RNA, 147 nt
Organism: Homo sapiens (human)
Lineage: Eukaryota; Metazoa; Chordata; Mammalia; Primates; Hominidae
Rfam family: Metazoan signal recognition particle RNA
About the family: The signal recognition particle (SRP) is a universally conserved ribonucleoprotein. It is involved in the co-translational targeting of proteins to membranes. The eukaryotic SRP consists of a 300-nucleotide 7S RNA and six proteins: SRPs 72, 68, 54, 19, 14, and 9.
Source: Rfam
GCUGGGCGUGGUGGCGUGCGCCUGUAGUCCCAGAUACUUGGGAGGCUGAGGCAUGAGAAUCGCUUGAACCCGGGAGGCAGAGUUGCAGUGAGCCAGGAUUGUACCACUGCGCUCUAGCCUGGGUGACAGAGUGAGACUCUGUCUCAA